AAAAUGGUCUUUUUCAAGACCCCAAAAUAAUUCGAAAAAGAAAUUA
This is a non-coding RNA of Clunio marinus, 46 nucleotides long. The record is from Rfam. Lineage: Eukaryota; Metazoa; Arthropoda; Insecta; Diptera; Chironomidae.